UACGGGGGGAGCAAGCGUUGUUCGGAUUUACUGGGCGUAAAGGGCGGGUAGGCGGCCACCGCAGGUCGACUGUGAAAUCUCCGGGCUUAACCCGGAAAGGUCAGCCGAUACUGUGGGGCUAGAGUGCAGAAGGGGCAACUGGAAUUCUCGGUGUAGCGGUGAAAUGCGUAGAUAUCGAGAGGAACACCUGCGGCGAAGGCGGGUUGCUGGGCUGACACUGACGCUGAACUGCGAAAGCUAGGGGAGCGAACGGG
RNAcentral lists this ribosomal RNA (254 nucleotides) under uncultured bacterium. RNAcentral's name for it is "partial 16S ribosomal RNA". It matches the Rfam family "Bacterial small subunit ribosomal RNA", at positions 524 to 776 of the family's 1533-position model. The record is from RNAcentral.